RNAcentral lists this ribosomal RNA (247 nucleotides) under uncultured bacterium. RNAcentral's name for it is "partial 16S ribosomal RNA". It matches the Rfam family "Bacterial small subunit ribosomal RNA", at positions 523 to 769 of the family's 1533-position model. The record is from RNAcentral.
AUACGUAGGGAGCGAGCGUUGUCCGGAAUUACUGGGUGUAAAGGGAGCGUAGGCGGGAUGGUAAGUCAGAUGUGAAAAUUAUGGGCUCAACCCAUAAACUGCAUUUGAAACUACUGUUCUUGAGUGAAGUAGAGGUAAGCGGAAUUCCUAGUGUAGCGGUGAAAUGCGUAGAUAUUAGGAGGAACAUCGGUGGCGAAGGCGGCUUACUGGGCUUUUACUGACGCUGAGGCUCGAAAGCGUGGGGAGC